RNAcentral lists this ribosomal RNA (532 nucleotides) under uncultured bacterium. RNAcentral's name for it is "bacterial SSU rRNA". It matches the Rfam family "Bacterial small subunit ribosomal RNA", at positions 59 to 580 of the family's 1533-position model. The record is from RNAcentral.
CAGUCGAGGGGCAGCAUGGUCUUAGCUUGCUAAGGCCGAUGGCGACCGGCGCACGGUUGAGUAACACGUAUCCAACCUGCCGUCUACUCUUGGACAGCCUUCUGAAAGGAAGAUUAAUACAAGAUGGCAUCAUGAGUCCACAUGUUCACAUGAUUAAAGGCAUUCCGGUAGACGAUGGGGAUGCGUUCCAUUAGAUAGUAGGCGGGGUAACGGCCCACCUAGUCUUCGAUGGAUAGGGGUUCUGAGAGGAAGGUCCCCCACAUUGGAACUGAGACACGGUCCAAACUCCUACGGGAGGCAGCAGUGAGGAAUAUUGGUCAAUGGGCGAGAGCCUGAACCAGCCAAGUAGCGUGAAGGAUGACUGCCCUAUGGGUUGUAAACUUCUUUUAUAAAGGAAUAAAGUCGGGUAUGGAUACCCGUUUGUAUGUACUUUAUGAAUAAGGAUCGGCUAACUCCGUGCCAGCAGCCGCGGUAAUACGGAGGAUCCGAGCGUUAUCCGGAUUUAUUGGGUUUAAAGGGAGCGUAGAUGGAU